GAUGAAGAACGUAGCGAAAUGCGAUAAGUAAUGUGAAUUGCAGAAUUCAGUGAAUCAUCGAAUCUUUGAACGCACCUUGCGCUCCUUGGUAUUCCGAGGAGCAUGCCUGUUUGACUGUCAUGAAAUUCUCAACCUUUUCAGCUUUCUUUGUUGAUCAGGCUUGGAUGUGGGAGUAUGCGGGCUUCUCAGAAGUCGGCUCUCCUGAAAUGCAUUAGCGGGACCUUUGUUGCCUGGCUUUGGUGUGAUAAUUAUCUACGCCAUUGUAGUCAAGCAGCUUAAAAUGAGGUUUCAGCUUCUAACCGUCUCCCCUGAGACAACUUUUUGACAAUUUGACCUCAAAUCAGGUAGGACUACCCGCUGAACUUAAGCAUAUCAAUAAGCGGAGGA
RNAcentral lists this unclassified non-coding RNA (387 nucleotides) under soil metagenome. Its description in RNAcentral is "partial contains 5.8S ribosomal RNA, internal transcribed spacer 2, and large subunit ribosomal RNA". The stretch from base 1 to 120 matches the Rfam family "5.8S ribosomal RNA", at positions 35 to 154 of the family's 154-position model. The record is from RNAcentral.